Manis pentadactyla (Chinese pangolin) is the source of this 1117-nucleotide non-coding RNA. The record is from the annotation of a RefSeq genome assembly. NCBI's taxonomy places the organism in Eukaryota, Metazoa, Chordata, Mammalia, Pholidota, Manidae.
UGUACUGACUCCAACUUUUUAGGUUCCAAAUGUGUCCUGCAUACCUCCUCACAAUUACAUAUAUUCUGUUACAGUUUGGGUUUUCAAAUUUCCUCAGCUGGUUUGAAAAAAAUAAAUUUCAUACUGAAAACAUAUUUAGGAAUUUUUCUGGAGUGUUUGAGAAUCACAGCUUUAAGUUGCCUUUGGGACUUCUGUAGGCAUACCAUCAGAUUUCCUGGGCAAUGGUAUUUUUGUCUCCUUCUUCCCACUAUUCUCCUUCACAGCUCACUGAACAGGCACAGUGCAAUUACACCCCCAGCUGCUUUGCAUGGGCCACUGGGGGCCCAGCUGGCUGCUGAAGCCCUAUUAAAGGGGCCUCCUGCCGGUGGGGCCUGAGGGUCAGACGGUUGAGCAGCAGCAGGAUAGUGCUCCAGCCCCAGUUCCUCAUCUUCCUGCUGCUCUGGGCCUCAGGUGAGAUCUUAGUGGGGAAAGAUUUUAUAUCGGAAAGAGAUUUUCCCAUCCAGAACAAAUAGAAUAUUUUAUCUAAAACAGUCUCAUUGCUUAUGAUAAAUAAGAAAACCUAUACACAUAAAUUUGUAUGUAUUUGUGAUGGCAUGUGUAGUCACUGUUAAUUUGUGAUUGCAGGCAUCUCUGGGGACAUCGUGAUGUCCCAGUCUCCAGGCUCCCUGGCUGUGUCUGUAGGAGGGAGGGUCACCAUCAACUGCAAGUCCAGCCAGAGUCUUCUGCAGAGCUCCAACCAGAAGAACUACUUAGGCUGGUAUGAGCAGAAACCAGGACAGGCUCCUAAACUUCUCAUCUCCUGGGCAUUCACCCGGGCAUCUGGGGUCCCUGACAGAUUCAGUGGCAGUGGGUCUGGGACAGAUUUCACUCUCACCAUCAGCGGUGCACAGGGUGAGGAUGUGGCAGCUUAUUACUGCCAGCAGCAUUAUAGCUCUCCUCCCACAGUGCUUCAGCCUCGAACACAAACCUCAUCUCCAGGGCGUCCCCAGGGCCACAGGCCAGUGCAUCUCUGCUGCGCCAGCUGCACCCUUCCUGCUCAGCCCUGUGUCCCCACAGCUUGAUGAGAGGCUGGCCUGGUGGCUCUAUCUUGCAACAAUAAAGAUUAGCCUGUCCUGUG